This 495-nucleotide ribosomal RNA is filed under the name uncultured bacterium. RNAcentral describes it as "partial 16S ribosomal RNA". It matches the Rfam family "Bacterial small subunit ribosomal RNA", at positions 28 to 507 of the family's 1533-position model. The record is from RNAcentral.
GACGAACGCUGGCGGCGUGCCUAAUACAUGCAAGUAGAACGCUGAAGGAGGAGCUUGCUCCUCUGGAUGAGUUGCGAACGGGUGAGUAACGCGUAGGUAACCUGCCUGGUAGCGGGGGAUAACUAUUGGAAACGAUAGCUAAUACCGCAUAACAGUAGAUAUCGCAUGAUAUCUACUUGAAAGGUGCAAUUGCAUCACUACCAGAUGGACCUGCGUUGUAUUAGCUAGUUGGUGAGGUAACGGCUCACCAAGGCGACGAUACAUAGCCGACCUGAGAGGGUGAUCGGCCACACUGGGACUGAGACACGGCCCAGACUCCUACGGGAGGCAGCAGUAGGGAAUCUUCGGCAAUGGACGGAAGUCUGACCGAGCAACGCCGCGUGAGUGAAGAAGGGUUUCGGAUCGUAAAGCUCUGUUGUAAGAGAAGAACGAGUGUGAGAGUGGAAAGUUCACACUGUGACGGUAGCUUACCAGAAAGGGACGGCUAACUACGUG